Molecule: long non-coding RNA, 702 nt
Filed under: Homo sapiens (human)
Lineage: Eukaryota; Metazoa; Chordata; Mammalia; Primates; Hominidae
Description: HSALNT0060452
Source: RNAcentral
UCCACAUGGCUGAAGCAGGCAACCAGGAGGUAGGCAGGGCCCGGCCCUGAGGGGCUGAGUUGGGGGAGUCCCAGGUCUCGGGAAGAGUGAUCUCAGGCUGCCCUGCAGGUGUUCCUGGGGGAUCCUGGGACAGCAUCAGGGACGCUGGCCCCCAGUGCUUCCUUCCCGUCUCACAAAUGGGCAUUUGUUCAUCGGCUAAACAACACUUUCUAGACUAUUUGGGGCACUGCACAUGAAGUCUGCAGGGUCGGGGGUUCAUGAUCAGGCUGUCUCUCUCUCACAUAGUUUGGUCAAUACAGGACUGUUCCUAAACAGCAAUGAGACAACCUGGUGCACAAUUCCACAUAUCGAGACCUGUCAUCUUAUUCAGAUCAUAUGGGUGAUACCACAUGCUUCAGAGUGAGGCUGAGCAUGGGUUCCCCUAAACUUACACAAACAAAAUGACUUACAGUGUUUGCCGGCCCUCCGUGCCCUCCAUGCCCUCUCUGAGUCACCAGCAAACAUUCUGUGCCCUGAACUAGAGAAUCAUCACAUUGUCUUUGCCCCAGUUACUUUCCUGGAACAGAUAACAAGCAAACAUCUCUCUGGUUAGUUGCUUCUCAGCUGAAUGGUUAGGGAUCCUGUGCUGAGGUCAGGUCUGCAGGGGUGAGAACCUGAUCCGACAGUGGGACAGCAGGAGGCCAUGGGGGAAUCUGAGGCAGG